UCUUAUAAAUUACCUCACAUCCGCCGCAGGAGCCACCAAAAGCUCCCAUUUCCCCUUCCCAUUCACACGAUCACAUCCCAUCUGUUUCUUGUUUUUGUUUGAAGAAAACCUCAGAGAUGAUCGGAAUGCAGUGCUUCUCCAUUCGAUCAAAGCUUUGCAUGUCCAUCUUUUACACCAUCGCCUCUGUUUAUUUAUUUUUCCAAUGAAUUAUUUUCUAACUCUUGAGUCAUUUUCUCUAUUCAGAUUUUAGAUUUUUCUAGUUUUAUUUUAUCUUCAAAAGAAAACCACAAUCAAUGUUUUAUUUUCUAACUCUUGAAAUGAAAACGCUGUGUACUAUUCCUGAGUCACUAAAUUUCUCUGAACUAUGCUAAAUAAGGAGGGAAACUGUGGCUGUUGGUUUUAAAACUUAAUACUUUAGGUGUUGAAGAGUUUGUUGAAAUCUGGUUUCCAUGUGACUGCAAUUAGACCCUCAACAGUGCCACCCAACUCAUUCAGAUUCAAAUGCAUCAUUACCAGAGGGAAUAAAUCCAAUUGACGUAGCAGCUCUAAUCAAAUGUUAUCUAGCUACACUUCCCGAGCCACUAACCACAUUUGAGCUUUAUAAUGAGAUCAAAGGCGCUCGUUCCAGCAUACAUGCGAUGAGAAACAUGCUGAGGAGGCUUCCAACUGUAAACUACACGACCCUAGAAUUUAUUACUGCACUACUGCUCCGCGUUAGCCAGAAGUCGGUUCUUAACAA
Non-coding RNA from Prunus mume (Japanese apricot), 739 nucleotides. NCBI's taxonomy places the organism in Eukaryota, Viridiplantae, Streptophyta, Magnoliopsida, Rosales, Rosaceae. The record is from RefSeq and is a predicted model, not a curated record.